Molecule: ribosomal RNA, 1977 nt
Filed under: human oral metagenome
Description: bacterial LSU rRNA
Rfam family: Bacterial large subunit ribosomal RNA
Source: RNAcentral
UCAAGUUUACAAAGGGCGCAGGGCGGAUGCCUUGGCACCAGGAGCCGAAGAAGGACGUGAUAAGCUGCGAAAAGCUGCGGGGAGGAGCAAAUAUCCAUUGAUCCGCAGGUAUCCGAAUGGGGAAACCCGGCAGAAAGAACUUCUGUCACCGUAUGAUGAAUCCAUAGUCAUACGGAGGGAACCCGGCGAACUGAAACAUCUAAGUAGCCGGAGGAAGAGGAAGAAACAUCGAAUCCCUAAGUAGUGGCGAGCGAAAGGGGACGAAGCCCAAACCAAGGAUUUAUCCUUGGGGUUGAGGACCACAUACGAAGAAGCAGUAGGUAGCAGAACGGUUUUGGGAAAGCCGGCCAUAGAGAGUGAAAGCCUCGUAUGCGAAACAGACUGUGAUUCAGUGGUAUCCGGAGUACUACGGGACACGAGAAACCCCGUAGGAAGCAGGGGGGACCACCCCCCAAGGCGAAAUACUACCUGGUGACCGAUAGAGUAUAGUACCGUGAGGGAAAGGUGAAAAGAACCCCGGGAGGGGAGUGAAAGAGAACCUGAAACCCUGUGUCUACAAGCUGCGGAAGAGCGACUAACGCUCGACCGUGUACUUUUUGUAGAACGGUCCGGCGAGUUGCCGUUGCUGGCAGGUUAAGUACUUAAGGUACGGAGCCGAAGGGAAACCAAGUCUUAAUAGGGCGGUAAGUCAGUAACGGCAGACCCGAAACCGGGUGACCUACCCAUGGCCAGGAUGAAGUCUGCGUAAAAGUGGAUGGAGGUCCGAACACACGUCUGUUGAAAAAGGCGGUGAUGAGCUGUGGGUAGCGGAGAAAUUCCAAUCGAACUCGGAGAUAGCUGGUUCUCCCCGAAAUAGCUUUAGGGCUAGCCUCGGUAUAGUCUAAUGGAGGUAGAGCACUGAAUCGCUGCGGGGGCGUCAAAGUCUACCAAUGCGUAUCAAACUCCGAAUGCCAUAUAGAUGUUUACCGGGAGUCAGACUGUAUGAGAUAAGUCGGACAGUCAAAAGGGAAACAGCCCAGACCAUCUGCUAAGGUCCCAAAGUGUAUGUUAAGUGGUAAAGGAUGUGGGGUUUCGAAGACAACUAGGAUGUUGGCUCAGAAGCAGCCAUUCAUUCAAAGAGUGCGUAAUAGCUCACUAGUCGAGAGGUCCUGCGCCGAAAAUGUCCGGGGCUGAAACAUAACACCGAAGCAAUGGAAUAUACCGUAAGGUAUGUUGGUAGGGGAGCAUUGAUAACACGGAGAAGCGGUACCGUAAGGAGCCGUGGAGGGUUAUCAAGAGAGAAUGCCGGAAUGAGUAGCGAGAUGAAGGUGAGAAUCCUUCAGGCCGUAUAUCCAAGGUUUCCAGGGUAAAGCUGAUCUUCCCUGGGGAAGUCGGGACCUAAGCUCAGGCUGAGAAGCGUAGGCGAUGGACAACUGGUUGAUAUUCCAGUACCUCUGGCUAUCAGAAAUGUGGGGACACGGAGAUUCAGGGAGUGCCUGUAAAGGAUUCAGGUGCAAGCAUGGUUUAUGCCGGGCAGGCAAAUCCGUCCGGGUAAGUGGACUGUGUGAUGCGGACCGAAAUAUAAGUAGGGAAGCUCCUGGGAGAGCCGUCGAGAAAAGCCGCUAUUGUGUAGUCAGAGCCCGUACCGUAAACCGACACAGGUGGAUGGGGAGAGUAUCCCAAGGCCGGCGGGAGAAGCAUUGUUAAGGAACUCGGCAAAAUGGCCCCGUAAGUUCGCGAUAAGGGGUGCCUGUAGAGAUACAGGCCGCAGAGAAUAGGCUCAAGCAACUGUUUAGCAAAAACACAGGUCUAUGCGAAACCGUAAGGUGAUGUAUAUGGGCUGACGCCUGCCCGGUGCUGGAAGGUUACGGGGAGUGCUUAGGAGCAAUCCGAAGGUACGAACUUAAGCCCCAGUAAACGGCGGCCGUAACUAUAACGGUCCUAAGGUAGCGAAAUUCCUUGUCGGGUAAGUUCCGACCCGCACGAAAGGCGUAAUGA